This 450-nucleotide ribosomal RNA is filed under the name Rarobacter faecitabidus. Its description in RNAcentral is "bacterial SSU rRNA". It matches the Rfam family "Bacterial small subunit ribosomal RNA", at positions 1035 to 1482 of the family's 1533-position model. The record is from RNAcentral. Lineage: Bacteria; Bacillati; Actinomycetota; Actinomycetes; Micrococcales; Rarobacteraceae.
CAGGUGGUGCAUGGUUGUCGUCAGCUCGUGUCGUGAGAUGUUGGGUUAAGUCCCGCAACGAGCGCAACCCUUGUCCUGUGUUGCCAGCGGGUUAUGCCGGGGACUCAUGGGAGACUGCCGGGGUCAACUCGGAGGAAGGUGGGGACGACGUCAAAUCAUCAUGCCCCUUAUGUCUUGGGCUUCACGCAUGCUACAAUGGCCGGUACAAAGGGCUGCGAUGCCGUAAGGUGGAGCGAAUCCCAAAAAGCCGGUCUCAGUUCGGAUUGGGGUCUGCAACUCGACCCCAUGAAGUCGGAGUCGCUAGUAAUCGCAGAUCAGCAACGCUGCGGUGAAUACGUUCUCGGGCCUUGUACACACCGCCCGUCACGUCACGAAAGUCGGUAACACCCGAAGCCGGUGGCCCAACCCUUGUGGGGGGAGCCGUCGAAGGUGGGAUUGGCGAUUGGGACG